This is a long non-coding RNA of Anolis carolinensis (green anole), 1807 nucleotides long. RefSeq lists it as uncharacterized. The record is from RefSeq and is a predicted model, not a curated record. Lineage: Eukaryota; Metazoa; Chordata; Lepidosauria; Squamata; Anolidae. The transcript has 4 exons.
GACAGUAGGCCCUUCAUCGUAGAUGUUUAAGGCCCAAGAAGAACCUAAACAUUACUAUUUGCCAAUUUAAACACUUCUUUUGACUCAGCUCUCAAACAUAAAAACAAUGCCUUGGCGACAGCUGUAGACUUAAUAGGGUUAGUCCCUCCAUAGUGACAGAAUAGGAAAUGCGUAUAUUCUAGUUGCCAGGGAAGCUGCUCAAACAUGAAGCAGGUGCAGCUGCAUCAGUAUGCUCUGCACUGAGAUCAAAGACAGGUGGAUAAACUACUUCCUGCGCUCUCUAUCAGAGUACGCCUCAGUGAAAAGCUACUUGCAAUAGACAUCUUGCAGAAACUUUGGCCAUAAAGUUAUUGUUGUCUCGUUGCAUCUAGAGACAAGGAAGAAGUUCUAUGAGCAGAGAAGCCAAUUAUCUGAAAUGGGUGGCCCUUUCAACUGGUUCUAGAUGGAAUUACAUAAACUGGGAGAGACAGAACAGAUGCAGCAUCUCUUAUAGUGGGAUCAUUAAUCAGCCGAGAUCCUCUUGAUGACAAAAAAUGGUUACAUUCAAACUACAAGAUCUAGCACCUGCAGAGGAGCCAAUACAAUCGAUUCAGUUGAGAUUAAAGCAUAUGCUUUGAAAAAGAGUGGAAAACCAAGAGAACCAGACAUCUAUGAAAAAUGAAGAAUCUUUUUACUAUCCAACUCUAUUUUAAUACACUCUUUGGUGUCCAGUUGUAUACCUUACACCAGGGGUGGGAAACGUCUUGCCUGAGAGCCAUAUAUGGCUUCUGAGAUCAAGUGGUCUGGUUUUGGUCUCCCAUCCAAACAUUAACCAAGUACUGACUCAGACCUGGUGCCUAUAACAAUCCUUGCAAAAACUGAAUCUCAGAUUAAGAAUAAGUAUAUUAGAGUAAUAUACUAUAAUUAUACAAAUGUUGGAUAUUUUCCAAAUUCAAAAUAUGGGGUUAGAACAGCGAUCAAAGCAAAAUAAUUCCCACCCAAGACCACGAAGCCAUAGUUGCUGUGGGUGAGGGAGCACCUCUGAUGGUAUCUCCAGAUAGAGACCAGGGUUAGACUCACUGGUGUGUGCCCCUGCUGAGGCAGGUUACAUGGAGGGACCACAGGUUUUAUAAAACUUCGCUUUCCUCCUGCCCCUCUCCCUCCUGGCACAUGAUUUCUAUGCACCAGGAGGACUCUACCAGGACCUUUUUGGCAGCUGGUUAAGUUUUUUUCUAUUUUAAGGCCUUUAGGAGGGGUGUUGAGGAGGGGGUUGGUGCCCUCAGGCUCAUACAGGCUGAAAAACCUGAGAGGACUGUGUAGAUUGGGCCCGGAGAUCACAUGACACAGUCCCCGAGCCCAAUCCACACUGGGCCCAUACCUGGAAAGACCUGGAUUUUAUCCAAGACCCAAGUCUUACCAGGUAUCAGAGUAAUUCAGGACAAAUAAGGUUUUCCUGCUUUGUCUCAAAUUAAUUUAAUUUUACCAGAGGCGUCGCUUGGACGCCUCUGGUAAAAGCGCACAAGCAGGUGGCUCCUUACGUAGUAUAUGUGAACAACAAAACACAGAGAAAAGGAGAAAAGAGGUAACACUUCCUCACCAGCCAACACAACAUGUUAAGAAAAAAGCAUAGAUCUAUACAUUUUACAACAAAAUUGAAGUUCUAAGAAAAGUAGAGGCUAGUGAAAGGAAGACACUUUGGAAGAAACCUUCAAGUCGCUUCUACAAGGUUCAAAAUGUCUUUGAUUACUUGGUUAAAUACUAACUGACCUUGUUGUUUCACUUCAUAUGCAUACAUUGUUAGUUUUGAAAAGUAAAUUGCUGAAAUAGA